AGAGUCUCGCCUGCUUCAGGUGCUCUUGGAAAUAUCUUUUCCAGAGUGAAACGGGAAACCGGUGCGUCGACUCAAUCGACAAUCCCGGUGCUGCCCCCGCAACGGUAAACGAGUAGAAGAUCGGCACAAUGCCACUGUAGUUCACUACGGGAAGGCGCCGAUUCGGAGCAAUCCACUCGUGAGCCCGGAGACCGGCCUGCUGCAUGAGCUUCAG
Molecule: non-coding RNA, 214 nt
Filed under: Solemya velesiana
Lineage: Eukaryota; Metazoa; Mollusca; Bivalvia; Solemyida; Solemyidae
Also listed under: 1 other name
Source: RNAcentral